GUCCAACCUUAAAGAAAUCAUUCUAGCCUAAUUGCUACUUGCUGUGUCUCUUCUCUCCUUGCUGAAGCUUUCCAUAUACUGUAGAAUCUACCAGGUUGAUAGUCUAAAUACAGCAGUAUGAGCCCACAAGUAAUACGAGAUCCUUCUGGAAGAGCUCCUGUCUCACUGAAACAGAGCAAGAGACUGAUGGCAAAUCUAUCUCCCCUUUAGGUGAAGAAAAAAAUCUUGAGAAGGUGAAGACUGUGAAAUACUUUGCAGUUAUUUUUGACUGUACCCCUAAUCUGAGUCAUCAAGAGCUGUUGUCCUUUGUGCUUUAUGUUGAUGUGACUUCUGAAGAAGUGAAGGAACACUGGAUUUGCCUGAGACAAGAAUAGCAACAGAAAUAGCAUCUGAAAUGGAUGUUGAACCUAAAUUCAGAGAAUGACAUUUGACAUGAAAGACAGGUAAGGAGGAGCUGGAGAAUUCACCCAAGAAAGUGUUGAAACCAAUUACUUUCUGGUCAUCGUGGAUCAGGCUCUCGUGUCACUGAUAACACUAUUUGAACAAAUGCAAGGGUAUGCUGACAAUUUUGGGUUUUUGUAUGAUGUGAAGGAACUCAGAGAAAUGACAGAAGAUGACAUGACAAAGCAGUGCAUGGAUUUGGCCACUGUGUUGUCUGAUGGAGAAUCUCAUGAUAUCGACAGUGUGGACCUUUUCUCAGAGCAUCAGGUGUUAUGAAAAUUCAUCCCUUAAAGAACAAGUACUGUACUUCAAUCCCUUCAGUUUCUUAAAUCACUUGAUGGUACCUUCCCAAAGACAGCAAUUGCAUGCAGGAUUUUGCUGAGAAUCCCAGCCACAGUGGCUUCAGGGGAGCAAAGCUUUUCCAAAUUAAAAAUGAUUAAGAACUACCUAAGGACAACUAUGUCUCAAGAGAGGCUGGUUGGAUUUGCCAGUCUGUCCAUUGAGAAGGAAGUAACAUCAAAUCUGGAUUACCACGAUCUGAUAGCAGAGUUUGCUGCAAGGAAGUCCAGGAAGGUGAAUUUCAGAAUGUAGGCAGUGCGACACUGAUUGUGAUAGGUUAGUUUUAGGUUUUUCUUAAUUAUGCCCCAGCUCAUGCCCUCCCUUUGCUGGAGUCCCAUGGGCCCCACGCAAUGUUAAAGGGGCCUUGCACAGGCUGAUUUCCCCUGGGCCCCACACUGUCCUAGGGACAGCUCUGGGUCACCUGCAGCCAGCUUCUGGCCAUUGGAUCCAGUUUCAGUUGGCACCAGGCUACCUGCAGCAGCCUGCAUGGACCCUGCAUCUGGUACUUGGCACUGCAGCCCUGUGCCCCUGCCUGUCCCAUAUCAUGCCCCCAUGCUGGGUGGUGCAGCCAGCUG
Long non-coding RNA from Alligator mississippiensis (American alligator), 1355 nucleotides. RefSeq lists it as uncharacterized. The transcript is spliced from 4 exons. Lineage: Eukaryota; Metazoa; Chordata; Crocodylia; Alligatoridae. The record is from RefSeq and is a predicted model, not a curated record.